Molecule: long non-coding RNA, 829 nt
Filed under: Triticum aestivum (bread wheat)
Lineage: Eukaryota; Viridiplantae; Streptophyta; Magnoliopsida; Poales; Poaceae
Description: long non-coding RNA (TAES_LNC019418)
Source: RNAcentral
GUAUUAGUACUACUGUCAUGUAGCAGCAUUGUGCCCAUGUGUAGCAUAACCAAGUGAAUUAUGGUGGUUUCUUCAUGCUUGUAUUAUCACCAACAUAGCACAAUAUGCUUGUAGUGUAACCAAACAGGAGUAUUUCUCGAUUUAUGUCAUGGACAUGAUGAAAUUAAGUAGGCAGAUGGCAUGCAAAUAUUAUCAUUUCUUUGGUCUUUGCUUCAUGAUUACAUAACUAGCACCACAUGAUGCAACAAUGACUGGAUUUAGGGAUCCGGACAGACUAUAACUUAUAUGGAAGAAAUAUGCCUGAAUUUCCAACAACAUAGGGCUUUAUGAAACCAAAUCAAUAUGAGGAUUAUUUUCAUUUCUAUCCUUGAUUUUUAUCAACAUGGGAUGCAAGAUCACCAUGAGACCAAACCAAGAUGGACAUAUUUUGUUCUUGAAUUGUAUCAACAUAAGAUGCAAGAUCCCAUGAGACCAAAACAAGAAGGAACAUAUUUUUUACUCUUGAGUUGUAUCAACAUGAGAUGCAAGAUCCCAUGAGACCAAAACAAGAAGACUUUUGUGGGUAGCACCGAACAUAUAUGAGAUAUGUGGUGAAAGCAAAGCAUCAUCGGUGGAUAUAUUUGAGUCUUGAAUUGUACCAACAUGGGAUGCAAGAUCACCAUGAGACCAAGACAAGAGGAAUUUUGAUUACACACGCACACUUAGCUCGCAUCAAUAUGGGAUUGAAGAUAAGUAUGUGACCAGACUAGGCAUUCAUUUUAUCAUCUUGAUUUGUAUCAACAUGGGAUCAAGAUCACCAUGAGAUCGAACCAAGAGAGAAUUAAUUGGG